CGUUGUGAAACUGAAUCUGAAGGAAGUUGGGAGCAAAGUCUCGGCCUGAGGAAUACAAACUACAUACAAGGCUGAAAUGUGCUAGGUAAGUUUGCGUAACAAAACGAAGCCCUAAACUAUCUGAAACAGGUAGUGUAAAUGUAGCAGAUAUGUGGAGGGAAAGUAAG
This 167-nucleotide non-coding RNA is filed under the name uncultured Clostridium sp. The record is from RNAcentral. Lineage: Bacteria; Bacillati; Bacillota; Clostridia; Eubacteriales; Clostridiaceae.